GAAACCGGCUCCCCUGAGUCACGGUACUAGUACAUGUGAAACAACUGGAAAUACAUGGGUUUCUCCUGUAUCUCGGGGUACUCCUGUGUAUUUUCCAGUCACCUGGUAAAUUCUGUAACAUAAAAAUGAUUCACUCGCUGCAACCACCUCUGCCACUGCAGCUUCUUCUCCAGGCUCCUCCAAUUCUCGCUUUAAAAAAAAAUCCGCUGCACAGGAUCACCAGUGUGCCCCACCAUGGCGACACUGCCCUGGACACCAGCUCUGAGAUCACCACCGAGGACUUAAAGGAGAAGAAGGAAGUGUGGAGGAGGCAGAGUACAGAAACAAUGCACCUGUGAAUGGGAACGCUAAUGUGGAAAAUGGGGAGCAGGAGGCUGACCAUGAGGUGAUGGUGAGGAAGAGGAUGGAGAUGAAGAUGAGGAGGUUGAGGCAGCUACAGGCAAAUGGGCAGCUGCAGAUGAUAAGGAUGACGAUGUUGACACCAAGAAGCAGAAGACCGAUGAGGAUGA
This is a long non-coding RNA of Pipistrellus kuhlii (Kuhl's pipistrelle), 509 nucleotides long. RefSeq lists it as uncharacterized. The record is from RefSeq and is a predicted model, not a curated record. The transcript is spliced from 2 exons. Lineage: Eukaryota; Metazoa; Chordata; Mammalia; Chiroptera; Vespertilionidae.